AGUGAACGCUGGCGGUAGGCCUAACACAUGCAAGUCGAACGGCUGCACGGUAAUAGCUUCCUCUUACGGGGGCCGAGGGGCGAGCGAUGCAUAAAAAUAUCCGAGGCUGCGUGGGCGAACGUCCUAACACGGGGACACUUACGCUAUUCGCCCAGACGGCCUACGGGGGAGAUCAUCGGACCUUACGACCUUACAUGAGCCUAUGACCCGAUGUCGGAUUAGCUAGUUGGCGGGGUAAAGGCCCACCAAGGCGACGAUCCGUAGCUGGUCUGAGAGGAUGAUCAGCCACACUGGAACUGAGACACGGUCCAGACUCCUACGGGAGGCAGCAGUGGGGAAUAUUGGACAAUGGGCGAAAGCCUGAUCCAGCCAUACCGCGUGGGUGAAGAAGGUCUUCGGAUUGUAAAGCACUUUUGUUGGGAAGGAAGAGCAGUAAGUUAAUACCUUGCUGUUUUGACGUUACCAAAAGAAUAAGCACCGGCUAACUUCGUG
This 492-nucleotide ribosomal RNA is filed under the name uncultured bacterium. RNAcentral's name for it is "partial 16S ribosomal RNA". It matches the Rfam family "Bacterial small subunit ribosomal RNA", at positions 29 to 507 of the family's 1533-position model. The record is from RNAcentral.